RNAcentral lists this ribosomal RNA (2930 nucleotides) under Escherichia coli. Its description in RNAcentral is "bacterial LSU rRNA". It matches the Rfam family "Bacterial large subunit ribosomal RNA". The record is from RNAcentral. Lineage: Bacteria; Pseudomonadati; Pseudomonadota; Gammaproteobacteria; Enterobacterales; Enterobacteriaceae.
GGGUUGUGAGGUUAAGCGACUAAGCGUACACGGUGGAUGCCCUGGCAGUCAGAGGCGAUGAAGGACGUGCUAAUCUGCGAUAAGCGUCGGUAAGGUGAUAUGAACCGUUAUAACCGGCGAUUUCCGAAUGGGGAAACCCAGUGUGUUUCGACACACUAUCAUUAACUGAAUCCAUAGGUUAAUGAGGCGAACCGGGGGAACUGAAACAUCUAAGUACCCCGAGGAAAAGAAAUCAACCGAGAUUCCCCCAGUAGCGGCGAGCGAACGGGGAGCAGCCCAGAGCCUGAAUCAGUGUGUGUGUUAGUGGAAGCGUCUGGAAAGGCGCGCGAUACAGGGUGACAGCCCCGUACACAAAAAUGCACAUACUGUGAGCUCGAUGAGUAGGGCGGGACACGUGGUAUCCUGUCUGAAUAUGGGGGGACCAUCCUCCAAGGCUAAAUACUCCUGACUGACCGAUAGUGAACCAGUACCGUGAGGGAAAGGCGAAAAGAACCCCGGCGAGGGGAGUGAAAAAGAACCUGAAACCGUGUACGUACAAGCAGUGGGAGCACGCUUAGGCGUGUGACUGCGUACCUUUUGUAUAAUGGGUCAGCGACUUAUAUUCUGUAGCAAGGUUAACCGAAUAGGGGAGCCGAAGGGAAACCGAGUCUUAACUGGGCGUUAAGUUGCAGGGUAUAGACCCGAAACCCGGUGAUCUAGCCAUGGGCAGGUUGAAGGUUGGGUAACACUAACUGGAGGACCGAACCGACUAAUGUUGAAAAAUUAGCGGAUGACUUGUGGCUGGGGGUGAAAGGCCAAUCAAACCGGGAGAUAGCUGGUUCUCCCCGAAAGCUAUUUAGGUAGCGCCUCGUGAAUUCAUCUCCGGGGGUAGAGCACUGUUUCGGCAAGGGGGUCAUCCCGACUUACCAACCCGAUGCAAACUGCGAAUACCGGAGAAUGUUAUCACGGGAGACACACGGCGGGUGCUAACGUCCGUCGUGAAGAGGGAAACAACCCAGACCGCCAGCUAAGGUCCCAAAGUCAUGGUUAAGUGGGAAACGAUGUGGGAAGGCCCAGACAGCCAGGAUGUUGGCUUAGAAGCAGCCAUCAUUUAAAGAAAGCGUAAUAGCUCACUGGUCGAGUCGGCCUGCGCGGAAGAUGUAACGGGGCUAAACCAUGCACCGAAGCUGCGGCAGCGACGCUGAUGCGUUGUUGGGUAGGGGAGCGUUCUGUAAGCCUGUGAAGGUGUGCUGUGAGGCAUGCUGGAGGUAUCAGAAGUGCGAAUGCUGACAUAAGUAACGAUAAAGCGGGUGAAAAGCCCGCUCGCCGGAAGACCAAGGGUUCCUGUCCAACGUUAAUCGGGGCAGGGUGAGUCGACCCCUAAGGCGAGGCCGAAAGGCGUAGUCGAUGGGAAACAGGUUAAUAUUCCUGUACUUGGUGUUACUGCGAAGGGGGGACGGAGAAGGCUAUGUUGGCCGGGCGACGGUUGUCCCGGUUUAAGCGUGUAGGCUGGUUUUCCAGGCAAAUCCGGAAAAUCAAGGCUGAGGCGUGAUGACGAGGCACUACGGUGCUGAAGCAACAAAUGCCCUGCUUCCAGGAAAAGCCUCUAAGCAUCAGGUAACAUCAAAUCGUACCCCAAACCGACACAGGUGGUCAGGUAGAGAAUACCAAGGCGCUUGAGAGAACUCGGGUGAAGGAACUAGGCAAAAUGGUGCCGUAACUUCGGGAGAAGGCACGCUGAUAUGUAGGUGAAGUCCCUCGCGGAUGGAGCUGAAAUCAGUCGAAGAUACCAGCUGGCUGCAACUGUUUAUUAAAAACACAGCACUGUGCAAACACGAAAGUGGACGUAUACGGUGUGACGCCUGCCCGGUGCCGGAAGGUUAAUUGAUGGGGUCAGCGCAAGCGAAGCUCUUGAUCGAAGCCCCGGUAAACGGCGGCCGUAACUAUAACGGUCCUAAGGUAGCGAAAUUCCUUGUCGGGUAAGUUCCGACCUGCACGAAUGGCGUAAUGAUGGCCAGGCUGUCUCCACCCGAGACUCAGUGAAAUUGAACUCGCUGUGAAGAUGCAGUGUACCCGCGGCAAGACGGAAAGACCCCGUGAACCUUUACUAUAGCUUGACACUGAACAUUGAGCCUUGAUGUGUAGGAUAGGUGGGAGGCUUAGAAGUGUGGACGCCAGUCUGCAUGGAGCCGACCUUGAAAUACCACCCUUUAAUGUUUGAUGUUCUAACGUUGACCCGUAAUCCGGGUUGCGGACAGUGUCUGGUGGGUAGUUUGACUGGGGCGGUCUCCUCCUAAAGAGUAACGGAGGAGCACGAAGGUUGGCUAAUCCUGGUCGGACAUCAGGAGGUUAGUGCAAUGGCAUAAGCCAGCUUGACUGCGAGCGUGACGGCGCGAGCAGGUGCGAAAGCAGGUCAUAGUGAUCCGGUGGUUCUGAAUGGAAGGGCCAUCGCUCAACGGAUAAAAGGUACUCCGGGGAUAACAGGCUGAUACCGCCCAAGAGUUCAUAUCGACGGCGGUGUUUGGCACCUCGAUGUCGGCUCAUCACAUCCUGGGGCUGAAGUAGGUCCCAAGGGUAUGGCUGUUCGCCAUUUAAAGUGGUACGCGAGCUGGGUUUAGAACGUCGUGAGACAGUUCGGUCCCUAUCUGCCGUGGGCGCUGGAGAACUGAGGGGGGCUGCUCCUAGUACGAGAGGACCGGAGUGGACGCAUCACUGGUGUUCGGGUUGUCAUGCCAAUGGCACUGCCCGGUAGCUAAAUGCGGAAGAGAUAAGUGCUGAAAGCAUCUAAGCACGAAACUUGCCCCGAGAUGAGUUCUCCCUGACUCCUUGAGAGUCCUGAAGGAACGUUGAAGACGACGACGUUGAUAGGCCGGGUGUGUAAGCGCAGCGAUGCGUUGAGCUAACCGGUACUAAUGAACCGUGAGGCUUAACCUUACAACGCCGAAGCUGUU